RNAcentral lists this ribosomal RNA (601 nucleotides) under Streptococcus mutans. RNAcentral describes it as "bacterial SSU rRNA". It matches the Rfam family "Bacterial small subunit ribosomal RNA", at positions 365 to 958 of the family's 1533-position model. The record is from RNAcentral. Lineage: Bacteria; Bacillati; Bacillota; Bacilli; Lactobacillales; Streptococcaceae.
UCGGCAAUGGACGAAAGUCUGACCGAGCAACGCCGCGUGAGUGAAGAAGGUUUUCGGAUCGUAAAGCUCUGUUGUAAGUCAAGAACGUGUGUGAGAGUGGAAAGUUCACACAGUGACGGUAGCUUACCAGAAAGGGACGGCUAACUACGUGCCAGCAGCCGCGGUAAUACGUAGGUCCCGAGCGUUGUCCGGAUUUAUUGGGCGUAAAGGGAGCGCAGGCGGUCAGGAAAGUCUGGAGUAAAAGGCUAUGGCUCAACCAUAGUGUGCUCUGGAAACUGUCUGACUUGAGUGCAGAAGGGGAGAGUGGAAUUCCAUGUGUAGCGGUGAAAUGCGUAGAUAUAUGGAGGAACACCAGUGGCGAAAGCGGCUCUCUGGUCUGUCACUGACGCUGAGGCUCGAAAGCGUGGGUAGCGAACAGGAUUAGAUACCCUGGUAGUCCACGCCGUAAACGAUGAGUGCUAGGUGUUAGGCCCUUUCCGGGGCUUAGUGCCGGAGCUAACGCAAUAAGCACUCCGCCUGGGGAGUACGACCGCAAGGUUGAAACUCAAAGGAAUUGACGGGGGCCCGCACAAGCGGUGGAGCAUGUGGUUAAUUCGAAGCA